AGAACGAACGCUGGCGGCAGGCCUAACACAUGCAAGUCGAACGCCCCGCAAGGGGAGUGGCAGACGGGUGAGUAACGCGUGGGAACAUGCCUUUCGGUUCGGAACAGACCCGGGAAACUGGGAUUAAUACCGGAUACGUCCUCAGGGAGAAAGAUUUAUCGCCGAAAGAUUGGCCCGCGUCUGAUUAGCUAGUUGGCGGUGUAAUGGACCACCAAGGCGACGAUCAGUAGCUGGUCUGAGAGGAUGAUCAGCCACACUGGGACUGAGACACGGCCCAGACUCCUACGGGAGGCAGCAGUGGGGAAUAUUGGACAAUGGGCGCAAGCCUGAUCCAGCCAUGCCGCGUGAGUGAUGAAGGCCCUAGGGUUGUAAAGCUCUUUCGACGGGGACGAUAAUGACGGUACCGUAGAAGAAGCCCGGCUAACUUCGUGCCAGCAGCCGC
Molecule: ribosomal RNA, 442 nt
Filed under: uncultured bacterium
Lineage: Bacteria
Description: SSU rRNA
Rfam family: Bacterial small subunit ribosomal RNA
Source: RNAcentral